AUUGAACGCUGGCGGAAUGCUUUACACAUGCAAGUCGAACGGCAGCACGGACUUCGGUCUGGUGGCGAGUGGCGAACGGGUGAGUAAUGUAUCGGAACGUGCCCAGUCGUGGGGGAUAACGUAGUGAAAAUUACGCUAAUACCGCAUACGACCGAUGGAUGAAAGCGGGGGAUCGCAAGACCUCGCGCGAUUGGAGCGGCCGAUAUAAGAUUAGGUAGUUGGGGGGGUAAAGGCCCACCAAGCCAACGAUCUGUAGCUGUUCUGAGAGGACGACCAGCCACACUGGAACUGAGACACGGUCCAGACUCCUACGGGAGGCGGCAGUGGGGAAUUUUGGACAAUGGGCGAAAGCCUGAUCCAGCCAUUCCGCGUGCAGGAUGAAGGCCCUCGGGUUGUAAACUGCUUUUGUACAGAACGAAAAGGUUUCUACUAAUACUAGGAGCUCAUGACGGUACUGUAAGAAUAAGCACCGGCUAACUACGUGCCAGCCGCCGCGGUAA
This 500-nucleotide ribosomal RNA is filed under the name uncultured bacterium. RNAcentral describes it as "partial 16S ribosomal RNA". It matches the Rfam family "Bacterial small subunit ribosomal RNA", at positions 30 to 523 of the family's 1533-position model. The record is from RNAcentral.